Molecule: unclassified non-coding RNA, 490 nt
Filed under: Hevea brasiliensis (rubber tree)
Lineage: Eukaryota; Viridiplantae; Streptophyta; Magnoliopsida; Malpighiales; Euphorbiaceae
Source: RNAcentral
AACACCGAAAGGAGAUGAUUGCUGUCAAACGUCGUGAAAGAAUCCUGCGAAGGGGAGUUGAUCUUGAGAAAAUAAAUACGGUAAAAUGAAAAGUUUGUAGACUGAUUGAACUGGCAUCCUUUCAAUUGCGCAUAUAUCAACCAUUGCCGUACUUACAUACGAGCAUUAAUUAUUUGGAACAUGAAGUGGCCAAAAUCUAUUCCUGAGAUCUGUUAUAGUUUACUAUGGUUGGAAUGUUAGUAAUUCUGCCAAAAAAAUGUUAUGGAACAUUGAUACUUCAUAUUCUGUGUAAAUCAAAUACACACACAAACAUACACAUGAGCAUUAAUUAUUUGGAAUAUGAAGAGGCCUAGAUCUAUUCCUGAGAUCUGUUCAUAGUUUACCAUGGUUGCAAUCUUAGUAAUUCUGCCAAAAAAUAUUAUGGAACAUUGAUACUCUAUAUUCCAUAUAAAUCAAAUUGAAUGCUUUUUUGUGCUCUUUUAUGAGGCAA